Long non-coding RNA from Megalobrama amblycephala (Wuchang bream), 422 nucleotides. RefSeq lists it as uncharacterized. Lineage: Eukaryota; Metazoa; Chordata; Actinopteri; Cypriniformes; Xenocyprididae. The record is from RefSeq and is a predicted model, not a curated record. The transcript has 3 exons.
AUGCUUUUUACCACAGUAUUGGUAGUUUUAAUGUGAUUUUUGUUGUAAAUACAGAGUAACCACAACACUUAUCAUGCUUUUAAUGCCUAAUAAUGUUAAAUCCAAAAACUGUAAGGUCAAUAAGAACUUCUUUCCUAUAUAUAUUUAUAUAUAAACCUAUAUAUUAUAAAUAAUGAUAUUUUCUUUUCUCUUGUUUUAGCUGAAAAGACAAAAAAGGGCCUUUCGGAAAUGGAUGAAGGAGACAGAAAGCUGCAAAGGCAAAUAAUUGCAAUGGAUUACUUGCAGAUUACUUAGUCCUUCUUUUUAGGAUCUCUACAACAUCAAACUCAACAGCUCUUUUAAGAGCCGACCCUCACAAGAGCUACUAGUGAGUCGCUGCAAACCUGCCGUGAUCAGCCCUUUCCAGAGAAGGAAGACCAGUC